CCCCUAGAUGUUCUGGGCCGCACGCGCGCUACACUGAACAGUUCAACAAGUCUUAACCUUGGCCGAUAGGUCUGGGUAAUCUUUGAACGCUGUUCGUGAUUGGGAUAGACCUUUGCAAUUAUGGGUCUUCAACGAGGAAUUCCUAGUAAACGCAAGUCAUCAGCUUGCAUUGAUUACGUCCCUGCCCUUUGUACACACCGCCCGUCGCACCUACCGAUUGAAUGGUCCGGUGAAAUCUCGGGACGGCGGCUCGGUCGCUUGCGUCCGACUGCUGAAACUUGAUUAAACCAUAUCAUUUAGAGGAAGGUGAGNUCGUANCA
Molecule: ribosomal RNA, 320 nt
Filed under: uncultured eukaryote
Lineage: Eukaryota
Description: partial 18S ribosomal RNA
Rfam family: Eukaryotic small subunit ribosomal RNA
Source: RNAcentral